Molecule: microRNA precursor, 103 nt
Filed under: Marmota monax (woodchuck)
Lineage: Eukaryota; Metazoa; Chordata; Mammalia; Rodentia; Sciuridae
Source: RNAcentral
AAUGGGAUUGGUGGAUAAGAUGGUCAGUCUAUUUUUAAUUUUUUUAAAAACCUCCAUACUGUUUUCCAUAAUGGCUGUACUAAUUUGCAUUCCCACCAACAGU